GCAAACUUGGUCAUUUAGAGGAAGUAAAAGUCGUAACAAGGUUUCCGUAGGUGAACCUGCGGAAGGAUCAUUACCGAGUUUAGGGUUCCCCCCCCAAGGGGCCCGAACCUCCCACCCAAUGUCAACCUAACUCUUGUUGCUUUGGCGGCCGUGAUUAUGUACUCACCGCCGGCUCUCCAGCGGGCGAGUGCCGCCAAAAGCCCCUUAUUAAAAUCGUUUUUGAAAAUCGAGUCUGAAAGUGAAAUUCAAAAUAGCUGAAAAACUUUCAACAACGGAUCUCUUGGCUCCAGCAUCGAUGAAGAACGCAGC
This 309-nucleotide unclassified non-coding RNA is filed under the name uncultured fungus. RNAcentral's name for it is "partial contains small subunit ribosomal RNA, internal transcribed spacer 1, and 5.8S ribosomal RNA". The stretch from base 1 to 73 matches the Rfam family "Eukaryotic small subunit ribosomal RNA", at positions 1759 to 1831 of the family's 1831-position model. Lineage: Eukaryota; Fungi. The record is from RNAcentral.